GGGUUUUCUAGGAAUGACUUGCUUUCUUGAAUUACUCUUUGGGCAAUAACUGGCUGAGAAGGACCAAAGAAUGAUCCAUAACUGCAGAAAGGCAUGAAAAUGAAAUAUGAAACAAACCAUUAAUCAUUCAUAUACGAGGACUACAUUAAAGAUAAUUGCAACUAUUUAAAAAUCAGAAUAUAAAACAGAAUUUCAAUGGAAUUUAUGUCAUUAAUCUAUAAAGAAAUAUGAAACCUCUAACCAGAGGCAUUAGGAGUGACCAAGUUACCUGUUCAUGCUCACAUCAAAUAAUGCGUAAACAGUGCAUUCACUGACUUGACAAAUCUAGCAAUAUUCAUAAAUGGUUUUCUAGCCCAAUUUCAAAUCAUGCAGUUUAAAUAGGAAUUGAUGGAUUGAAUAGUGUAAAGAGUUUUCCCCCAAUUAGCAUAGCUACAAGCUACAAUAAAAUUGAAACCAAGUCAUUGCACUCAACUGCAAAUUCAAUUUACAUCUAUUACUUAAGCAAUAAAUUUAUGCAUGGACAUCUAUCAAGUAUACAUUCUAAGCUGCAUUUUACUAAGGAAUUAUCUGCGGCGCAGCUAAUUCGUGCAUCUAAUUCCUGCAUGUAAUACUGGUUUAAGAAAAAAGAAAGUCAUUAAUUAUCUUCAAAUUUUUUGUUGCUAGGGUGUAGCUGCGGUUCUAUGUUUACUGUAGAUCAUAACUCAUGAUAUCAUCAAUUGUCUCCUUGUGCAGAAAGGAACAUGUUCCAUCAAAAUAAGUGAGAAUAGCAAGCUGGUUGUCAUUAAGAAAACAGUACAUCACUCACUUAUCAGAAGGAACUUUUUUCUUUAUAUCAUGGGACUUAGAAACAGCAGUAGAACCAUUUUCCCUUUGCAUUUUCUUCCUUAUUCUCUCUUUAAUUCGUGCCCUUAAUUCAAGAUACUCAAGUUCCUCUGCAGUUGGCUUUCUCUCUUC
This 954-nucleotide long non-coding RNA is filed under the name Manihot esculenta (cassava). Its description in RNAcentral is "long non-coding RNA (MESC_LNC007496)". Lineage: Eukaryota; Viridiplantae; Streptophyta; Magnoliopsida; Malpighiales; Euphorbiaceae. The record is from RNAcentral.